ACCCCUUGAGCUUUCACUAGCUUCUGAGCACUCACUAGCUCUUGAGCUUUCUCCAUCUUGUGAGUUUGGCCCAUUCAAAAUGGUACAUUCUAGGAUGAAGUCUGUCAGCACUAAGCUUAAUGGAAGGCCUCAGACAAUACUAUACGUCCAACUCAAUAAGUUCAAGAGCCCACUUUGUAAUUCAUUCUGAAGUGUUUCGUCGGUGGAGAACGGCC
RNAcentral lists this long non-coding RNA (215 nucleotides) under Elaeis guineensis (African oil palm). RNAcentral describes it as "long non-coding RNA (EGUI_LNC041519)". The record is from RNAcentral. Lineage: Eukaryota; Viridiplantae; Streptophyta; Magnoliopsida; Arecales; Arecaceae.